UGGCCUGGAGAUCAAGGGCUUCGGUCGCUUGAGGAGGGGUUCGCGGCUGAUUAGCUAGUUGGCGGGGUAACGGCCCACCAAGGCGACGAUCAGUAGCCGGCCUGAGAGGGCGAACGGCCACACUGGAACUGAGACACGGUCCAGACUCCUACGGGAGGCAGCAGUGGGGAAUUUUGCGCAAUGGGCGAAAGCCUGACGCAGCAACGCCGCGUGGAGGAUGAAGGUCUUCGGAUCGUAAACUCCUGUCAGUGGGGACGAAAGCUCCGAAAGGAGUCUGACUGUACCCGCUGAGGAAAGCCACGCUAAACUCGUGCCAGCAGCCGCGGUAA
This 329-nucleotide ribosomal RNA is filed under the name uncultured bacterium. RNAcentral describes it as "bacterial SSU rRNA". It matches the Rfam family "Bacterial small subunit ribosomal RNA", at positions 190 to 523 of the family's 1533-position model. The record is from RNAcentral.